This 22-nucleotide microRNA is filed under the name Oryza sativa (Asian cultivated rice). RNAcentral's name for it is "osa-miR5537". Lineage: Eukaryota; Viridiplantae; Streptophyta; Magnoliopsida; Poales; Poaceae. The record is from miRBase by way of RNAcentral. RNAcentral also lists the same sequence under 1 other name.
AAUGUUUGUAUGGAUCGUUUGU